Molecule: ribosomal RNA, 789 nt
Filed under: Placopsis aff. gelida Dillman 2014164
Lineage: Eukaryota; Fungi; Ascomycota; Lecanoromycetes; Trapeliales; Trapeliaceae
Description: SSU rRNA
Rfam family: Eukaryotic small subunit ribosomal RNA
Source: RNAcentral
AACUAUACCGUGAAAACUGCGAAUGGCUCAUUAAAUCAGUUAUCGUUUAUUUGAUAGUACCUACUUACUUGGAUAACCGUGGUAAUUCUAGAGCUAAUACAUGCUAAAAACCUCAACUUCGGAAGGGGUGUAUUUAUUAGAUAAAAAACCAAUGCCCUUCGGGGCUCCCUGGUGAUUCAUAAUAACUAAACGAAUCGCAUGGCCUUGCGCCGGCGAUGGUUCAUUCAAAUUUCUGCCCUAUCAACUUUCGAUGGUAGGAUAGUGGCCUACCAUGGUGGCAACGGGUAACGGGGAAUUAGGGUUCUAUUCCGGAGAGGGAGCCUGAGAAACGGCUACCACAUCCAAGGAAGGCAGCAGGCGCGCAAAUUACCCAAUCCCGACACGGGGAGGUAGUGACAAUAAAUACUGAUGUGGAGCUCUUUAGGGUUUCACAAUUGGAAUGAGAAAAAUCUAAACCACUUAAACGAGGAACAAUUGGAGGGCAAGUCUGGUGCCAGCAGCCGCGGUAAUUCCAGCUCCAAUAGCGUAUAUUAAAGUUGUUGCAGUUAAAAAGCUCGUAGUUGAACCUUGGGCCUGGCCGGCCGGUCCGCCUCACCGCGUGCACUGGUUCGGCCGGGCCUUUCCUCCUGGGGAACCGCAUGCCCUUUACUGGGUGUGCCGGGGAAUCAGGACUUUUACUUUGAAAAAAUUAGAGUGUUCAAAGCAGGCAUUUGCUCGAAUACAUUAGCAUGGAAUAAUAGAAUAGGACGUUGUGGUUCUAUUUUGUUGGUUUCUAGGACCGCCGUAAUG